AUUGAACGCUGGCGGCAGGCCUAACACAUGCAAGUCGAGCGGAUGAAGGGAGCUUGCUCCUGGAUUCAGCGGCGGACGGGUGAGUAAUGCCUAGGAAUCUGCCUGGUAGUGGGGGAUAACGUCCGGAAACGGGCGCUAAUACCGCAUACGUCCUGAGGGAGAAAGUGGGGGAUCUUCGGACCUCACGCUAUCAGAUGAGCCUAGGUCGGAUUAGCUAGUUGGUGGGGUAAAGGCCUACCAAGGCGACGAUCCGUAACUGGUCUGAGAGGAUGAUCAGUCACCCUGGAACUGAGACACGGUCCAGACUCCUACGGGAGGCAGCAGUGGGGAAUAUUGGACAAUGGGCGAAAGCCUGAUCCAGCCAUGCCGCGUGUGUGAAGAAGGUCUUCGGAUUUUAAAGCACUUUAAGUUGGGAGGUAGGGCAGUAAGUUAAUACCUUGCUGUUUUGACGUUACCAACAGAAUAAGCACCGGCUAACUUCGUG
This 484-nucleotide ribosomal RNA is filed under the name uncultured bacterium. RNAcentral's name for it is "partial 16S ribosomal RNA". It matches the Rfam family "Bacterial small subunit ribosomal RNA", at positions 30 to 507 of the family's 1533-position model. The record is from RNAcentral.